Molecule: ribosomal RNA, 438 nt
Filed under: uncultured bacterium
Lineage: Bacteria
Description: partial 16S ribosomal RNA
Rfam family: Bacterial small subunit ribosomal RNA
Source: RNAcentral
CUACGGGUUGCUGCAGUGAGGAAUAUUGCACAAUGGGGGAACCCUGAUGCAGCAACGCCGCGUGGAGGAUGACGCAUUUCGGUGUGUAAACUCCUUUUAUAUGUCAAGAAAAUGACGGUAGCAUAUGAAUAAGCACCGGCUAACUCCGUGCCAGCAGCCGCGGUAAUACGGAGCGUGCAAGCGUUACUCGGAAUCACUGGGCGUAAAGGACGCGUAGGCGGGUUGGAAAGUCAGGUGUGAAAUCCUACAGCUUAACUGUAGAACUGCACUUGAAACUUCUAAUCUAGAGUAUGGGAGGGGGAGAUGGAAUUAGUGGUGUAGGGGUAAAAUCCGUAGAUAUCACUAGGAAUACCUAAAGCGAAGGCGAUCUCCUGGAACAUUACUGACGCUAAGGCGUGAAAGCGUGGGGAGCAAACAGGAUUAGAUACCCGGGUAGUC